This 389-nucleotide ribosomal RNA is filed under the name uncultured organism. Its description in RNAcentral is "bacterial SSU rRNA". It matches the Rfam family "Bacterial small subunit ribosomal RNA", at positions 45 to 433 of the family's 1533-position model. The record is from RNAcentral.
UGCUUAACACAUGCAAGUCGAACGGCAGCACAGUGUGUAGCAAUACACAUGGGUGGCGAGUGGCGGACGGGUGAGUAACGCGUAGGAAUCUGCCUUAAAGAGGGGGACAACCCGAGGAAACUCGGGCUAAUACCGCAUAAAGUCGAAAGACCAAUGGCUGGGGCAACCUGGCGCUUUAAGAGGAGCCUGCGUCUGAUUAGCUAGUUGGUGGGGUAAAAGCCUACCAAGGCGAUGAUCGGUAGCUGGUCUGAGAGGAUGAUCAGCCACACUGGGACUGAGACACGGCCCAGACUCCUACGGGAGGCAGCAGUGGGGAAUAUUGGACAAUGGGGGCAACCCUGAUCCAGCAAUGCCGCGUGUGUGAAGAAGGCCUUCGGGUUGUAAAGCAC